Molecule: ribosomal RNA, 254 nt
Filed under: uncultured bacterium
Lineage: Bacteria
Description: partial 16S ribosomal RNA
Rfam family: Bacterial small subunit ribosomal RNA
Source: RNAcentral
UACAGAGGUCUCAAGCGUUGUUCGGAUUCAUUGGGCGUAAAGGGUGCGUAGGUGGCGGGGUAAGUCAGGUGUGAAAUUUCGGAGCUUAACUCCGAAACUGCAUUUGAUACUGCCUUGCUUGAGGACUGGAGAGGAGACUGGAAUUCACGGUGUAGCAGUGAAAUGCGUAGAUAUCGUGAGGAAGACCAGUGGCGAAGGCGGGUCUCGUGGACAGUUCCUGACACUGAGACACGAAGGCCAGGGGAGCAAACGGG